Molecule: non-coding RNA, 485 nt
Organism: Sturnus vulgaris (Common starling)
Lineage: Eukaryota; Metazoa; Chordata; Aves; Passeriformes; Sturnidae
Source: RefSeq, a predicted model, not a curated record
CCAUGCCGGGAAUUCAUGGUCUUGGGGCUGGAUGGAAACACAGCUCCCACACGCUGCUGCUUUCACCUGCAGGAGCAGCAAAAUUCAUGGAAAAGCAGGGAAAUGAGGAGCACAGGGAGCUGGAUUGUUCCAAGUUGAAGUGAAGGAAACUUCUGGAGCUGCAAAGCAUCAGCCCCUCAAACAAGGCCUGUGUGUCCAAGGCCUGAAUUCCUUGUGCCAAAUUCCUGGUGGAAAACAACAAACUGACACUUUGUGCUUGGAAUAUCCAGGGGAUGAGACCUCCAAAAUCAAAAUCUUUUGGGCUUGGAGCCACCUGGAUCAGCAUCAGGAGAGGAAAAGCUGUUCCAAGCUCAGGUUUCCAAGCUCAGGUUUUGUGUGGGAGCAGAGCCCAGGCAGGCACAGAUGGACUCCAGGUUUAUGGAAAGCACCUUCCAAACCAGCCCUGCUUGGGUUUCUAACCUGAUCCUAAAAAUAAAUAAAUCAAA